AAACCUGCGAAACUCGAAUGAACGAACGGAGAGAUUCAUCGUCAUUCCGCGGCGUACCCGUUCGCGCCUUGAUGUUUGCACUUGCGCGUCUCACGGCGUGUACGUGCGGGCACAGGUCGUGCGGGUCGACGUUCGCGGACGGCGUGCACUUCUCUCUUAGUAAACACUCCGCAAGGGGUGGAUACAUCGCGACCCGUUCUCUCUGUCGGUCUAAGCGUCGUUCGGGAGCCUAGCGGCCGCGUCUAAACAACGCCGGCCGUUAGACCGUGACGUACGCCGACCGGCGGAGGACGGUAUAUUCAUAUAUGGGAACCGCGCACGCGUUUCGACGCGUCAGGCCCGACGCAAGUGUUUGUGUCAUCGCCGACGUCCUGCCUAUGUGCGGACGACGACGUGGCGCCGCUGUUGUCGCAGCCGUGUAGUCUCUGACUGUGCGCGUGUCCGUCUGCGAUGUUUCAGUUUCGGGCACUCGCAGG
This 476-nucleotide ribosomal RNA is filed under the name Colias erate poliographus. Its description in RNAcentral is "partial 28S ribosomal RNA". Lineage: Eukaryota; Metazoa; Arthropoda; Insecta; Lepidoptera; Pieridae. The record is from RNAcentral. RNAcentral also lists the same sequence under 1 other name.